AUCCAGCUGAUGAGUUCUAAAUAGGACGAACCGUACAUCCUGUAU
This 45-nucleotide non-coding RNA is filed under the name Schistosoma haematobium. Lineage: Eukaryota; Metazoa; Platyhelminthes; Trematoda; Strigeidida; Schistosomatidae. The record is from RNAcentral.